CUUCAAGGCAGACAAAAGUACUCUAUUCUAAAAGAAAAUUGCCACAAAAACCAUUUAUUAGUAAAGAAGGGACAUAAGCACCAGUUUUAGGGCAACAAGGGAGAGGCAAACUGCACUGUUUUGUGCAAAUGCAGUGGGCUUAUGAUCAGUACUGCCUUUAUCUAUAAAGCUGCUAACUUUCCAGCCUUGAAGGGAAAAGAUAAAUACCAGCUGCCAGAGUUGUGAUUGUAUGGCAAGGAGGCCUGGACGAUGAGAACCCUUUUUCUGAAUUGGUUCCACCAAUGUUUCUUUCUGAAGCCAGGAAGUAACUUGCCAGUAAGAAACCACCUUUUAAAGGUCUUGUGAUCUUGGACAAUGCACUUGCACCCCACCCCCGCCCCCCGCCCCUCCACUGAGCCCCAUGAAUUCAACACUGAAGAUGUCAAAGUGAUCUACCUGCCCACAAACACAAUGUCUCCAAUUUGGCCUCUUGAUCAGUCUUAAAGACCUUUAAGGCUCAUUACACACAGUACUACAUGGAAAGGAUUGUCCGCGUUCUAGAAGAGAAUCCAAACCAGACAUCAUAAAAGUCUGGAAGGAUUACACCAUUGAAGAUGCCACCGUUGUUUCAGAAGAAGCCAUGGAAACCAUCUAGCCUGAAGCAGUGAAUUCUUGCUGGGGAAAACUGUGUCUACAGGUUGCACAUGACUUCACAGGGUUUAUGAUAGAGAUUAUGACAUAGAAAUCGAAGAAAUCAUGAAAUAGAUUGUGGACAUGGCAAGAAGGCCAGGAGGUAAAGGGCUUCUUGGAGAAAUUCCAGAAUUAACAGGCACCACACCAGAUGAAUUAAGAGUUGUCUUGACGGACAUGAGUUGUCUUCAUGAACAAAUUGACGUUAGAUAAUCUGGCAGAAGAAUCCUGAUUAUUCAAGACUGCUUUUGACUUCCUUUACAACAUGGACUCUUCUAGGAUAUGGGUGCUGAAACCAAAGUACGUAGAGGAAGAAAGAUUGGUAUUGUACAGAAAGCUUUUUAGAGAAAUGAAAAAGCAAAAAAAGGUCAAAUUAUGAAAUAUGUAUUUCUGUAAAGUUGCACCCACCUCUUCUGCCUUCCUUUCUACCUUCUGCACCUCUUCCCCCCCAUCACCUCUCGUCCUCCUCAGUCUACCCAACAGGAAGAUGAUGACAAUAAAGACCUUUAGGAUGAUCCACUUCCAUUUAGUGAAGAGUAAGGAAUCAUUAUGCUGCACCGUUAAUAAACAUCCGUUGUGUCUUCAUGUGAAAAUAUAGUAACUGUAUGGCAAGAACUAUGUGAAACAUUUUCUGUCCUCCUCAUCAUCACUGCUUAAGUAUUCAUCACGUAGAAUAUCACAAACCAGAUUUGUAUGGAAGUGGAUAGCCUAUCCUUUCACAGGCAUAGGGUCAGUGAUAUUUAACAUAAAAUUAAUAAUGUGUUAGUUUUCUUACUGUUUUAUAACUUUGCUUUCAAAGAAUUACUACACAAUAUCUCUGACUGCCAUCUUUCUCUCCCUCUCUCCAUACCCUGCCUUCUCCCCCCGCCCCCCACCUAUAACUGGAGAAACUAUGUAUCAGCCUGUCAUCACAGCAUCUGAUAAGCGGUAGAAAUCUGGUAACCAGAAACAGUGAUGCUCUGGAUACUAACAGAGAUGAUGGAAACAACAGGAUGAACUGUGAAGGACGGUUGACAGCAUUAAUGAAGUCAUUGCGUGGCUAAACCUUGUUUCGAAGACAGCUUCAGUCUCAAGGAAGAAAAUAACCUGGACUCCUAUUCUGAAAGACUUGACCUGUAAUAUAAAUCAGGGCACAAACAACAGCACUGUCCAGUUGCAAUGACUAUCAUGAUGAGCCCCUGACCUUCAGCACUGAGUGCAAUUGAUCUAGCUAUUACUGUUUACUUAAUGGAAAAAUCUCUCUCCUGCUUUCAGAUUUGUCCCAAGGCUUAGCCACAAGAGGAAGAUUUCUUUUUAAAAUGUGAGUUCAUUCAUUCUACAGACGUGAGUAUCUGUAAAGCGCCAGGUCCUGUGCUGGGGCAGGGGACCCUCGAAUGAAUUAGAUACCUCUUGUGCACUAAGGAGCAUGUACAAUUCCAGGUUUUAGAGAUUUAGCAGUGAAUAAGACAACCGGAGGAUAAAUGACAGAAGGGACAUCUGAGGCCUGGAGCGUGUACAGGGAAAGAGCUCUGACCAUGUCCAAAGUCAGGGUGUGCACACCCUACACAUCACUGAGUAUUUCACCUCUUGUUUGCUAUAUGCAGAAGCACAGGAACCCAUCCACCCCUGCUCAAGGAGUCAUGGUUUUGGAAGUUAUUCCCUACGAUUGCCUUAUGUGCUGCAAAUAAAGUUUCCUGUCUGACGACUCACCUGAUGUAGUUUCUAUCUGUGACUCACCAAGGAGUGAACUCACAUUAGUUCGGUUACAAUAGAGGGAGAUUAUUGAAGUUCCACAUUUAAGUACGGUGCCCUUUUACUGUAAGUGAGUGUCCCUGAUGGAGAGUUUUCUUGAAUGCACCAUGUAUGUUUGUGCCUCAUGGAUUAAAGGAGCCAAAUGCCAUCUAACCUCCUCUUAGGGCUCAGUUAUUAAUGGAUACAGGAGCGGCUAUCACCUGCUGACCUCACAUAGGUAGAUUCUACUUAAUUUUGCUGACCGUCUUUCUCCUCACACUAAGAUGUAAACUCUGUGAAGAGAGUUUUCCUGUCUGUUUUGUUCAUGACCGCAUUCCCGGUGGGAGAACAGCGUCUGAUAACUACUAGGUGCUCAGUGAGUAUUUAUUAAAUAAAUCACUGGUCUGAAUGAUUAUAACUUCACAGAAGUUUGAUUUCUGAAUAAGCCAGGUGUUAUCAUGUUAAUAACAUGGGGGUUUCUGGACUGUUUCCAUGUUGGUAGAGAAGGUUAAGAAAUUAUUGCUAAAGGAAGCACUCUGGCUUUAAAAAAAGUAGCUGAGUUUUAUCUGGUUAAUGUAUAGCAUAGAGUUGAUUUCCUUUUGGAUGCUAUAAUAAAAUAUAUGUUGCGCUUACAAAUAUAUUUGCAUUAAACUAUUGAAAGCAUGGAUGACUGUGGCAUCAGUGAAGCUACAUUUGGAACUAAAAUGAUGACCUACUUGUGCAAAUCCUCUAUAAGUCUACCCAGCAGGUGCACAGUGUUUCAGUCUGUCUCCCCCCAAGUGGCCUUGCUCGUUCAAUAGAGAGCUCACGUGACCACUUUCAAGCUACUUGAUGGGAAGUCAACCACAGUGUCUAAGAAUCAUUUGUAAAAACCCUAGCGGUAGCUGCAUAGUUUAGAGUUCUCUUCUGUAAGGUACAUGAAAGAGCUUCACAACAGAGUUUCAAAGGAGGAUGAGUCUUUGACGAAUCUGUCUAAAAAUAAUGAAAAAUAUAAUGAAUGCUAAGAAGUUCUUUGCAGCUUUUAUCGUAAGGGAUAAUUGGAAGGAACGUUAACACUUUAACAGUAAGGAAGUAGGUAAGUAAACUGCUGAUUGGAAAAUAUAACUAAUAAAACAAUAAAAAAGAGAAACGUAUUGAUCAUGGAGCAAAAGUGUUAGCAGUUUACCUAAGGUAACUAAGGGGAAGUCAAUUCAUAUGGAACGCGAGUACUGAAAUUCUCAGACUAACAUUUGAAAGGGAUUUCCCAAACUAUGUCUUUAAGAUUUUCCAGAGAAUAAUAGCUGUAUCACUCUCACACACAAAGGAAUGUUUGGUUACAGAAGAUUUUACUCCUAUUGGAGAUUUAUGAUACAGCUAAGAAUUCAAGGAUCCAAAAAUUUCUGUAGUAAAAUAAACAGUGCAAUUAUACCUGAUUUUUUCCCAAAUUAUCUGACCGAAUGCCAUUUUUUCCUAGUCAACCUGUGGAUAACCUGAGAAAGAUCACCAUUCUGUAGAGCACCAGUAGGGAACAGCUACCUUGGUUUUUCUCCAAUGAAGGUUUGAAUACAAGGAAAAGUAUAAGAAAUCAAGAAAAAAAAGAGGUUGAGUCGUUGGGUCCAGGUUGCUUUAUUUCUGAAAGUUGUCUGAGGAAGACUGACCUUGUGUCUAAUUGCUGGAAUCAGGAGGCAAAAAGGCAACUUUCCUCUAAAAAUAGAAGCGAUGUGGUGCCUGGCUGGCUGAGUUAGUAGAGCAUGCAACUCUUGAUCUCGGGGUUGUAGGUUUGAGCCCCACAUUGGGUGUGUAUGUUACUUAAAACAAUAAAAUCUUAAAAAAAAAUAAAAAUAGAAGCAGCCUUAUAAGAGUCUGUCCUUAAAGACCUUGCGGGACUGAGUCCAUUCCACAGGCACAUGAGCCAUUGGGGAGCCAUAGUCUUAGGGAUUAUCGAAUGGAGUUAGGAGCAAGUAGGAAAGUUCCAGAACCCGAGUAUCCCCAUCAUACUUUGUACUGCCCAUGAUUAGAGUGGUAUUAAUUUUCUUAGGGAUUGUUCUCAGGAGCUUGUGAACCCCGUCAUCCCUCCCUCCUUUUGCCUCUCUCUCCCUCUCGUCGUCUACCUCUCUUAGUAAGCUUCUUGAUAACAACCAUUACGUUCACCUUUGUAUCCACAGUGGCUGGAACUGAGUUGGUGUUGAAUGAAUACCCACUGAAUUAACAACAGAAAGAGGGAAUGAAUGAAUGAAUGAAUGUUCUUGUGCUCUACAGAAUGUUGGGCCCAAUGCACUCAAAACUGGUUCCCAGUGUAGCUCUCAAAUAAAAUAGUCAAAAAAUCAACUUUCUAUAUUUCCAUUAGAUUAGAGUGUUUUAGAAUAAUAGUUUUCAAAACUUUCCCUAAUUUAAGCUCUGCUUAUUAAAUUCAUAUUUAUUUUUAAUUUUAUAAUAUAGGCUACGGUAAAACAUUCACACAUUUCAGAAAAAGGUAACUCAUCUCCUAAUUACCAACCGCUGGGCUAGGAACCUUAUAGUUGGUUGCAUACAUAAGAGCACUGUUUUUGAGGUCUAUUUUAGGAAGUAUGGAUUACUUAAAAUUGUUUUCAGUAACUAUAGAGGAUCCCAUAAAAUGAUUAUUCUAAAAGCAAUUUGCAUUGCUAUUGAUAGACAUUCAGGAUGUUACCAAGAUUUACUAUUAUGAGAAAUGCAGCAAUGAACACCCUUGUAUCUUAGAUUAGAUAUUCAGAAAGAAAACCGUUUAAUCAUCAAUUUAAAAACUGAAAAUUCAAAAAUUCGGUUGGCAAAUUGUCAACCCAAAGAAAUGGCUCACCAAAUUUACUUUCCUACCAGCAAUGUAGAGCAUAUGCAUUUUCAAUAUUUGUGCCAAAAUAUUUAUAUUACCCAAUUUAAUUUGUUUCUAAUUAUUUGGGUGAAAGAAUGAUAUCUUAUUUUAUACUUCCCAGAUUAGUACUGAAGUUUGCCAACUUACAGGCAGUAUUUGUCACUGUAUUAAUUUUAGCCAAUCUUAAAAACAAAACGUCAUUGCUAUGAAUUGUCUAGUCCUGUUAGAAAUGAUUGUAAGCAAAACUGUACCUUUGAAUUAUUCACAAACAGACAAUGUCUAUUCAUGGGGCUCCUCAGAAGAUCUGUAGUAUUACAUGUUUUUAUCAUGUUCAGUAGGAGGCUGCAGCUUGCCUUUAUAGCCAAGUUGGUCACUUUUCUGGACACACAGUCCUUAUUUCAAGAAAACAUCACUUCUUCUGCUUUCUUUUUUUUAACGUUUAUUUUUGAGAGAGAGAGAGAGAGAGAGAGAGAGAGCGCGCAUGAGCAGGGGAGGGGCAGACAGAGAGGGAGACACAAUUUGAAGCAGGCUCCAGGCUCCCAGCUGUCAGCACAGAGACCGAUGUAGGGCUUGAAUUCGUAAACCUUGAGAUCCUGACCUGAGCCAAAGCUGGAUGCUCAACCACUAAGCCACCCAGGUGCCUCUUUUCUGCUUUCUAAGUGACUCUUCCUUCACUAAUAUCACCUGAUUGUGGACAGAUAUGUUUAUAAUUAAUUCUGUAGCCUGUGUGGCUAGUGCGGUGUUAGGUACAUUGCCAACAAAUGUAAUUGUAAUGGGUUUAACAACCUGGUCUUAUUUCCCCCCACACUAAACAUUAAUUCUGCCAUCAUUCAAAAAAAAAAAGAACAAAAGAAAUGACAGAAUCUUCUUACGCUGUCAAGUAGCAUACUCAUGAUUACAAGCAGAAAAAGGCUAUUGUGAUCAAAUGGUAAAAAAGUUAUCAGUUGAGUUAUCUAAUAAUUAUGGUAUAUAAAAAUCUCUCUUUAAAAGAAAAACCGAAUGGUAUAGACAGUACUCGGGGGGAAAGAACUACUGGAGACAAAGGCAUUAGUUAAGAUACUUUAAACACACACACACACACACACACACACACACACACACACACAGCCUGAAUAGUAAUCACAUGGUGUUGGAUAUUUUUUGAACUAAUCUUUUUGGAAAAUAGGUUAUUAAGGUAAGAAAACAAUUGCAGAAAGAAACUUAUACCUCUUUAUUAUUCUCAAACCAUAUUUGUCAUGAACAAUUCUAUUUUUAAAGAAAUGGGUUUGCUUCUAAAUAAAAGAUCAUUAAUAAGGAGAAUACAAAUUCCCAUUGUAGGGCAACUUAAUGCUUAGACUCUACGGUAGUUUGGUUUCCUUUUUAUUUUUUCACCCAAGGAACUUUUCAAUUAGUAAGCAUAAGAAAAGUUACUGUAUAUCACUCAUUAUUCAUUGAUUUGAUGAAAAUAAAUCGGAUAAUUUCAGAUUGAAGAAAAUUUGUUUCGCUUAAGGUAUUUUUUAGAGAAUGGUAUUUUACUUCUAUUACAACCUGAAAUUCUUCCAGUGUCCAUCCCUCACAAACGAUCUUCCUGAAUUUCAUAAUCAUGUGAGAAAAAUCCUUCAGGAGAAUCAGGAGAUUGUAUCCAUAUCUGGGCUGUGACACUAAACAUCUGUGUGUCACCAGCAUAACUUACAGGAUUAUUUUUCUGAACUUCUGCGUCUUAUUGAGUAAAACAAUGACUGACUCCACUGGGAGAGAGAGAUACAAACUCAAUUUCCUUGACUUGUCUCCCAACAUUAACAAUUAUUUUAGAGAUUUCACCUGAAGGUAAAUAUUUCAAGCGUUUCUUGAAGUCCUGAGUUAUUUGGCAAGAUGUGUCCGUCGCUGCUACAUUUUAACCACCAGCACAACUGUCCACUUAUGGGGCACAUACAUCUCAGUUCACCGACUCCUUCCCUGACCUGUUUCAUUUAUUUAUAUUUAUGUACUGAAGACCCUACAUGCAAUCUGUGUCAACUAAAGGCUGGACAAAAAUCUAUGGAGACUGUAUGUUCUCAAUGUCCUCAAAGUCAGAAGGUUGAGGUUCCAAAGGAUUUACUGGUGAGACAUCAGGAAAAACUCACGCUUACUGUGUCCAGUGUGACUCACCAUCUUCAGGUCUCCUUAUUCUCUCUCACAGGCACUCAGUUACAGGUUUCUCUGGAAACCUUCCACCUUUUACCUCUGCAAAUGCCUCACAGGUCUCUCCAAGCUUUAUGUUUUGUGUCUGUUUUGUAGGGGCCUAGGGCAGUCUGCUCCAACAUGGGCCACUUUGGCGUGAACAUGAUUUUGAAUUAAAAGUGUACAAAACCCAGCAGAUGCAGAAAAGGCUUUCUUCCAGGACCCCAACUGCCUAAGUUUACAUCGGAAAGGAGAACCUGAACCAGGAAGAGAGCUAAUAACAGACUCUCCUUUACCUGAGAAACUUACCUGCAUAAUAAGCAACCCUUGUUUUUCAAAACAUCUCCUUUCACCUUCCUGCUAAUAGCCUUCUCCCUUUGGUAUCUUCAGACCCUACCCAUCUCCUUAGCUCAAAUAAGGUUCAUGUUGCCUCGUUGUCUUUGCAAUUUCACGUUUGUAUGGAUUCCUUGUAUGUACACCUAUUAAAUUUGAUUUUCUCCUGUUCAUCUGUCCCAUCAAUUUGAUUCUAAAUCCACCUAGAAGGACCUUAAAGGGAAGGUCUUCCUCUGCAACAACUCAAAUAUUCUAACCUUACCAUCUUUGCAUACUCUCCUCUCAUUUCUAGAUUUUAUUCUUUACAAUCCUGGUAGACUUGAUAUUUCAGUAAUCUUUCUCUACUAGGCUGCUUUACCAAGAGUAGGGAGUCUGGGCUCUUAUUGCUUCAUACAGGCAGUUGGGGACCAGUUUUGCUCAAUUCCCCACUCAGCCAUGGCUCCUAAAAACCCCAGCCUGUGACAACGCACCAGCUUGUUGCCAAGGGCAAUCACAGAAGAGGGGGGUGGAGCAGGAGUAACACAAUUACUAUUGGGCAAGGAAAGUUUGACCUGUUUAUGGGAUUUAUUUUAUGAACCUCUCCAUUUUACAUGAAAGACACAGACACCUACAGAAUUAAAUAACCUGCUUGGUUUUAAAGACUGACUUUGAAUAUAGAUUAAAAACAAAUCUCGACAAGACGCAAAAGGAAAACUUGAGCACUGAGAGCAGGUUAAUAGCUUCAAAGCAGGUGAAGAGUCAUUAGAUAAGUAAAGGACGCGUAGAGUGUAGAUAAGAAUGAAGGAGGGGGGCACCUAAGUGGCUCAUUCCGUUAAGCGAUGGACUUCAGCUCAGGUCAUGAGCGCACAGGUUUGUGAGCUCCAGCCCACAUUGGGAUAUCUACUAUCAGCAUAGAGCCCCACUUUGGAUCCUCUGUCCCCUUCUUUAUCUCUGUCCCUACCCUGCUCCCCCCCCCUCCUCAAAAAUAAACAAACAUUUAAGAAUGAAGGAGGAAAAACCCAGGCUGGGGGCUAAAGAAGUCUUCUCCAGUUGAUAACCAUGCCUUUGCACCCACCGGAAGAAUUUUUAAUUUGUAUUAAACCUGUAAAAUUCUGAACAGUUUUUGUUAGCACUUAAAUAAAGAAAAGUGACUUGAAGAAGCUUAGAAGCAUAAAUUAUCAGACAGAAAUAGCCUCAGCAUAUUUAAGAUGAAAGCCACCAGAGAGAACAAAUACUAAAUGUCUUUGGAGUCUAUUAAUUCCAGCCCCUACUCAAGGAAUUUUCAGCAUGAUCACAGAGUUAUAUACUUGAAUAACACAAAUCCAACUAUUACUGGUUCCUACCUAGCUACAUGACUAUAUAAUAUUUUAUACUGUCCGAUUUUGAAGUAUGCUGGCUCUUAGAAACCAGCUUUUAAGUCUCAUGUCUCCUAACAGUAUUUAUUUAUUUAUUUAUUUAUUUAUUUAUUUAUUUAUUUAUUUUUUAAAUUGUUUUUAAUGUUUUAUUUAUUUUUGACACAGAGAGAGAGACAGAGCAUGAGUGGGGGAGGGUCAGAGAGAGAGGGAGACACAGAAUCCGAAGCAGGCUCCAGGCUCUGAGCCAUCAGCGCAGAGCCCGAUGCAGGGCUCGAACUCACAGACUGCAAGAUCAUGACCUGAGCCGAAGUCGGACGCUCAACCGACUGAGCCACCCAGGCGCCCCUCUCCUAACAGUAUUUAUAAGUCCACCAUUAUUUUCCAUUUAUCUUCAUAUUGUGCCUAUCUCACUUACUUACGGUAUUCUUUCUUAAAUACACUAUAUAAACAAAUACUUAUUCUUGGUAUGUUAGAGUAGGCAGUUAGUUAGGUUUUAACAGUGUGCCUGGAGGCCAGGGGGAGUCACAGCUAUUCUGGGAAAGCCAGAGAUCUGUCCUGGCA
This is a long non-coding RNA of Acinonyx jubatus (cheetah), 9552 nucleotides long. RefSeq lists it as uncharacterized. NCBI's taxonomy places the organism in Eukaryota, Metazoa, Chordata, Mammalia, Carnivora, Felidae. The transcript has 7 exons. The record is from RefSeq and is a predicted model, not a curated record.